GACGAACGCUGGCGGCGUGCUUAACACAUGCAAGUCGAGCGGUAAGGCCCUUUCGGGGGUACACGAGCGGCGAACGGGUGAGUAACACGUGGGUGACCUGCCCUCAACUCUGGGAUAAGCCUGGGAAACCGGGUCUAAUACCGGAUAUGACUCCAUGACGCAUGUUGUGGGGUGGAAAGCCUUGUGCGGCUGAGGAUGGGGCCCGCGGCCUAUCAGCUUGUUGGUGGGGUGANGGCCUACCAAGGCGACGACGGGUAGCCGGCCUGAGAGGGCGACCGGCCACACUGGGACUGAGACACGGCCCAGACUCCUACGGGAGGCAGCAGUGGGGAAUCUUGCGCAAUGGGCGAAAGCCUGACGCAGCGACGCCGCGUGAGGGAUGAC
This 384-nucleotide ribosomal RNA is filed under the name uncultured bacterium. RNAcentral's name for it is "bacterial SSU rRNA". It matches the Rfam family "Bacterial small subunit ribosomal RNA", at positions 28 to 412 of the family's 1533-position model. The record is from RNAcentral.